This is a non-coding RNA of Paramuricea clavata, 138 nucleotides long. The record is from the annotation of a GenBank genome assembly. Lineage: Eukaryota; Metazoa; Cnidaria; Anthozoa; Malacalcyonacea; Plexauridae.
ACAAUAUUUUGCUGCCCAUAUUGUUCCUGGAUGUUAACAAUAUUGUUCUGAAUCAGCAUUCUUCAUGCAGGCUGAACAAUGCUGAACAUGUCAAUAUCGUUAACAACCAGGAACAAUAUGGGCAGCAAAAUAUUGCAU